RNAcentral lists this ribosomal RNA (2930 nucleotides) under Escherichia coli. Its description in RNAcentral is "bacterial LSU rRNA". It matches the Rfam family "Bacterial large subunit ribosomal RNA". RNAcentral also lists the same sequence under 16 other names. Lineage: Bacteria; Pseudomonadati; Pseudomonadota; Gammaproteobacteria; Enterobacterales; Enterobacteriaceae. The record is from RNAcentral.
GGGUUGUGAGGUUAAGCGACUAAGCGUACACGGUGGAUGCCCUGGCAGUCAGAGGCGAUGAAGGACGUGCUAAUCUGCGAUAAGCGUCGGUAAGGUGAUAUGAACCGUUAUAACCGGCGAUUUCCGAAUGGGGAAACCCAGUGUGUUUCGACACACUAUCAUUAACUGAAUCCAUAGGUUAAUGAGGCGAACCGGGGGAACUGAAACAUCUAAGUACCCCGAGGAAAAGAAAUCAACCGAGAUUCCCCCAGUAGCGGCGAGCGAACGGGGAGCAGCCCAGAGCCUGAAUCAGUGUGUGUGUUAGUGGAAGCGUCUGGAAAGGCGCGCGAUACAGGGUGACAGCCCCGUACACAAAAAUGCACAUACUGUGAGCUCGAUGAGUAGGGCGGGACACGUGGUAUCCUGUCUGAAUAUGGGGGGACCAUCCUCCAAGGCUAAAUACUCCUGACUGACCGAUAGUGAACCAGUACCGUGAGGGAAAGGCGAAAAGAACCCCGGCGAGGGGAGUGAAAAAGAACCUGAAACCGUGUACGUACAAGCAGUGGGAGCACGCUUAGGCGUGUGACUGCGUACCUUUUGUAUAAUGGGUCAGCGACUUAUAUUCUGUAGCAAGGUUAACCGAAUAGGGGAGCCGAAGGGAAACCGAGUCUUAACUGGGCGUUAAGUUGCAGGGUAUAGACCCGAAACCCGGUGAUCUAGCCAUGGGCAGGUUGAAGGUUGGGUAACACUAACUGGAGGACCGAACCGACUAAUGUUGAAAAAUUAGCGGAUGACUUGUGGCUGGGGGUGAAAGGCCAAUCAAACCGGGAGAUAGCUGGUUCUCCCCGAAAGCUAUUUAGGUAGCGCCUCGUGAAUUCAUCUCCGGGGGUAGAGCACUGUUUCGGCAAGGGGGUCAUCCCGACUUACCAACCCGAUGCAAACUGCGAAUACCGGAGAAUGUUAUCACGGGAGACACACGGCGGGUGCUAACGUCCGUCGUGAAGAGGGAAACAACCCAGACCGCCAGCUAAGGUCCCAAAGUCAUGGUUAAGUGGGAAACGAUGUGGGAAGGCCCAGACAGCCAGGAUGUUGGCUUAGAAGCAGCCAUCAUUUAAAGAAAGCGUAAUAGCUCACUGGUCGAGUCGGCCUGCGCGGAAGAUGUAACGGGGCUAAACCAUGCACCGAAGCUGCGGCAGCGACGCUGAUGCGUUGUUGGGUAGGGGAGCGUUCUGUAAGCCUGCGAAGGUGUGCUGUGAGGCAUGCUGGAGGUAUCAGAAGUGCGAAUGCUGACAUAAGUAACGAUAAAGCGGGUGAAAAGCCCGCUCGCCGGAAGACCAAGGGUUCCUGUCCAACGUUAAUCGGGGCAGGGUGAGUCGACCCCUAAGGCGAGGCCGAAAGGCGUAGUCGAUGGGAAACAGGUUAAUAUUCCUGUACUUGGUGUUACUGCGAAGGGGGGACGGAGAAGGCUAUGUUGGCCGGGCGACGGUUGUCCCGGUUUAAGCGUGUAGGCUGGUUUUCCAGGCAAAUCCGGAAAAUCAAGGCUGAGGCGUGAUGACGAGGCACUACGGUGCUGAAGCAACAAAUGCCCUGCUUCCAGGAAAAGCCUCUAAGCAUCAGGUAACAUCAAAUCGUACCCCAAACCGACACAGGUGGUCAGGUAGAGAAUACCAAGGCGCUUGAGAGAACUCGGGUGAAGGAACUAGGCAAAAUGGUGCCGUAACUUCGGGAGAAGGCACGCUGAUAUGUAGGUGAAGCGACUUGCUCGUGGAGCUGAAAUCAGUCGAAGAUACCAGCUGGCUGCAACUGUUUAUUAAAAACACAGCACUGUGCAAACACGAAAGUGGACGUAUACGGUGUGACGCCUGCCCGGUGCCGGAAGGUUAAUUGAUGGGGUCAGCGCAAGCGAAGCUCUUGAUCGAAGCCCCGGUAAACGGCGGCCGUAACUAUAACGGUCCUAAGGUAGCGAAAUUCCUUGUCGGGUAAGUUCCGACCUGCACGAAUGGCGUAAUGAUGGCCAGGCUGUCUCCACCCGAGACUCAGUGAAAUUGAACUCGCUGUGAAGAUGCAGUGUACCCGCGGCAAGACGGAAAGACCCCGUGAACCUUUACUAUAGCUUGACACUGAACAUUGAGCCUUGAUGUGUAGGAUAGGUGGGAGGCUUUGAAGUGUGGACGCCAGUCUGCAUGGAGCCGACCUUGAAAUACCACCCUUUAAUGUUUGAUGUUCUAACGUUGACCCGUGAUCCGGGUUGCGGACAGUGUCUGGUGGGUAGUUUGACUGGGGCGGUCUCCUCCUAAAGAGUAACGGAGGAGCACGAAGGUUGGCUAAUCCUGGUCGGACAUCAGGAGGUUAGUGCAAUGGCAUAAGCCAGCUUGACUGCGAGCGUGACGGCGCGAGCAGGUGCGAAAGCAGGUCAUAGUGAUCCGGUGGUUCUGAAUGGAAGGGCCAUCGCUCAACGGAUAAAAGGUACUCCGGGGAUAACAGGCUGAUACCGCCCAAGAGUUCAUAUCGACGGCGGUGUUUGGCACCUCGAUGUCGGCUCAUCACAUCCUGGGGCUGAAGUAGGUCCCAAGGGUAUGGCUGUUCGCCAUUUAAAGUGGUACGCGAGCUGGGUUUAGAACGUCGUGAGACAGUUCGGUCCCUAUCUGCCGUGGGCGCUGGAGAACUGAGGGGGGCUGCUCCUAGUACGAGAGGACCGGAGUGGACGCAUCACUGGUGUUCGGGUUGUCAUGCCAAUGGCACUGCCCGGUAGCUAAAUGCGGAAGAGAUAAGUGCUGAAAGCAUCUAAGCACGAAACUUGCCCCGAGAUGAGUUCUCCCUGACUCCUUGAGAGUCCUGAAGGAACGUUGAAGACGACGACGUUGAUAGGCCGGGUGUGUAAGCGCAGCGAUGCGUUGAGCUAACCGGUACUAAUGAACCGUGAGGCUUAACCUUACAACGCCGAAGCUGUU